RNAcentral lists this transfer RNA (59 nucleotides) under Anisakis simplex (herring worm). It matches the Rfam family "tRNA". Rfam says of the family: Transfer RNA (tRNA) molecules are approximately 80 nucleotides in length. Their secondary structure includes four short double-helical elements and three loops (D, anti-codon, and T loops). Lineage: Eukaryota; Metazoa; Nematoda; Chromadorea; Rhabditida; Anisakidae. The record is from Rfam by way of RNAcentral.
UCCGCGGUAGCUCAGAGGUAGAGCCCCAAUCGUCGCGGGUUCGAUUCCCGUUCGCGGAG